This is a small nuclear RNA of Sapajus apella (tufted capuchin), 103 nucleotides long. The record is from RefSeq and is a predicted model, not a curated record. Lineage: Eukaryota; Metazoa; Chordata; Mammalia; Primates; Cebidae.
UUGCUUUGGCAGCACAGAUACUAAAAUUGGAACAAUGCUGAGAAGAUUAGCAUGGCCCCUGAGCAAGGGUGACAUGAAAAUUUGUGAAGCAUUCCAUAUUUUU